UGAUAGGCUAGGCUACACAUGCGAGUCGAGCGGCAUGAAGGGAGCUUGCUCCUGGAUUCAGCGGCGGACGGGUGAGUAAUGCCUAGGAAUCUGCCCGGGAUUGGUCUCUAACGUCUGGAAACGGGCGCUAAUACCGCAUACGUCCUGAGGUAGAAAGUGGUGUUACUUCGCACCUCACCCUAUCAAAUGAGCCUAGGUCGGAUUAGCUAGUUGGUGGGGUAAAGGCCUACCCAGGCGACGAUCCGUAUCUGGUCUGUGACUAAGCCGAGUCCCACUGUAACUGAGACAGGGCCCAGACUAAUACUAAAGCUUGCAUUGGUUAAUAUUGCACAAUGCGCGAAAGCCUGAGCCGGGUNCAACUCCUACGUUAAGAAGGUCUUCGGAUUGUAAAGCACUUUACGUUGGGAGGAAGGACAGUAAGUUAAUACCUUGCUGUUUUGGCGUUACCAACAGAAUAAGCACCGGCUAACUUCGUGUCAGCGGCCGCGGCAAUACGAAGGCUGCAAGCGUUAAUCGGAAUCACUGGGCGUAAACAACGCGUAGGUGGUUCAGCACGUUGAAUGUGAAAUCCCCGGCCUCGACCUGGGAACUGCAUCCGAAACUACUGAGCUAGGAUAAGACUGUGGGAGAGGGAAUCUCC
This 640-nucleotide ribosomal RNA is filed under the name uncultured bacterium. RNAcentral describes it as "bacterial SSU rRNA". It matches the Rfam family "Bacterial small subunit ribosomal RNA", at positions 34 to 671 of the family's 1533-position model. The record is from RNAcentral.